RNAcentral lists this ribosomal RNA (292 nucleotides) under Eimeria sp. LBA-2011. Its description in RNAcentral is "partial small subunit ribosomal RNA". It matches the Rfam family "Eukaryotic small subunit ribosomal RNA", at positions 711 to 1003 of the family's 1831-position model. The record is from RNAcentral. Lineage: Eukaryota; Apicomplexa; Conoidasida; Eucoccidiorida; Eimeriidae.
CCUUCCGCGCUUCGCUGCGUGAGGUGCGUGAUCCGGAACCUUUACUUUGAGAAAAAUAGAGUGUUUCAAGCAGGCUUGUCGCCCUGAAUACUGCAGCAUGGAAUAAUAAGAUAGGACGUUGGUUCUAUUUUGUUGGUUUCUAGGACCAAUGUAAUGAUUAAUAGGGACAGUUGGGGGCAUUCGUAUUUAACUGUCAGAGGUGAAAUUCUUAGAUUUGUUAAAGACGAACUACUGCGAAAGCAUUUGCCAAGGAUGUUUUCAUUAAUCAAGAACGACAGUAGGGGGUUUGAAG